UGGGUAACCUGCCUCAAAGAGGGGAAUAGCCUCCCGAAAGGGAGAUUAAUACCGCAUAAUAUGUUUAGGUCGCAUGACUUUAACAUCAAAGGAUUUUCUUUUAGAAAUUCCACUUUGAGAUGGACCCGCGGCGCAUUAGCUAGUUGGUGAGGUAACGGCUCACCAAGGCAACGAUGCGUAGCCGACCUGAGAGGGUGAUCGGCCACAUUGGAACCGAGACACGGUCCAGACUCCGUACGGGAGCAG
This 246-nucleotide ribosomal RNA is filed under the name uncultured bacterium. Its description in RNAcentral is "partial 16S ribosomal RNA". It matches the Rfam family "Bacterial small subunit ribosomal RNA", at positions 118 to 347 of the family's 1533-position model. The record is from RNAcentral.